Small nuclear RNA from Rana temporaria (common frog), 192 nucleotides. RefSeq annotates it as U2 spliceosomal RNA. The transcript has a single exon. The record is from RefSeq and is a predicted model, not a curated record. NCBI's taxonomy places the organism in Eukaryota, Metazoa, Chordata, Amphibia, Anura, Ranidae.
AUCGCUUCUCAGCCUUUUGGCUAAGAUCAAGUGUAGUAUCUGUUCUUAUCAGUUGCCAGUAGGUGGUUCUAUGCUGACUGUCCCCAGUACCCGGCAAGGGGGAAAGGGAUGGCAGUCGGUGGACACUAAGCCUGCUGGUGUGGAGGUGAAAGCCUUCUGAUUUGGACAGAGAGGCAUGAGGUCGAAGCUGAA